RNAcentral lists this unclassified non-coding RNA (488 nucleotides) under Portunus trituberculatus (swimming crab). RNAcentral describes it as "uncharacterized LOC123509051, transcript variant X4". The record is from RNAcentral. Lineage: Eukaryota; Metazoa; Arthropoda; Malacostraca; Decapoda; Portunidae.
UUGGUGCUUGAUAUAACACUUAAAAGAUAUGAAAAACAUGAUUCAAGUAACAAUAUUCCAUAAAGUUUAGUCUACCUAUUCGUAUUUUCAAUUUCAAAAUUUUGAAUGGUAACAAAAUAGAAAACAAAAAUCUUUAUAUGACAAAGAAUCUGUGUUUUCUUUAUUCGGCUGGAAAGCGAAAAUUUGUGUUAUUCAGAAAAUGUAAUAUAACGUAGUUUGGGUGAGCUUUCUAUCUCGACAUUGUGGUGUGUUUGUCACCCGUUAAUUGGACACAAACACCUUACUUUCCACCGGUUUCAAUAAAAAAACCACCCGACGAUGGAAUGCUGUCAGCGAGCAGCAUGGAAGACGCAGAGAGAGUGGUGGUCAGGUGGUGGUGGAGACAGGGAGAGUAUGUGGCCUGGAGAUUAACAAACAGAACACCAAUAAUCUUGUGACCUCCAUGCAUCCUUCCUAAUGUCAAUAAAGUUGUCUUAUCAUGCCCAAAA